CUGCACCAGGCAUAUCAACGCUUGAUGCAGUGGUGAGGGGUGUGUGCCCUUACCUUGGUGUCGGUGGAUUCGUGUCGUAGUGGCAUCGCACGUCAACUGCGCUGAACGGAGAUGUCCGACAAAAAGUUGUACCAGCAGCUGCAGCCACGGUCAGCAACGUCGCAGAGGAUUUGCCAAAACAAGCGCUCAUGUGGCCAGGCAAACGGAGAGGUGCACUACCUGCGUCCCGAUUAUGGAUGGGGCGAUACUGGAACACGAAAGGUUACGGUUUCAGCAUGCAAACAGGCGUAAUAUUUGAGCCCGUGGAACUGAUGAGAUGCGAACCGGCUGCGACGUUCAAGGCGCGGCCGCGACGGCUGCCACUUCGCGCGUGCCGGCGCGACGGGUGUCUUGGGAGCCACGGAGCGGCGCGCCCGGUUCCUCGCAUUAACUCCAGCUGGCGCUCGCCUCCGCCGCAUCGCGGCCCACGCUAGAGGCCGUGGUUUCCCCAUAAAGCCCGCCUUCGUGCUCAGCGUUCCCGGCAAGCGCUUUCAGUUCGACACAGAAAGAGAAGCGAUGGCCGACAGUCUACGAGAGAAUUGGUCUUUCGCACGGGACCUCUGAAGACGUCAUCUUCCCCUGAGGGUCCGCGGCAAUCAGGAAGAGAGUGCAACGACUGCUGAUUGCUUUCAUACGAGGCAUGGAGUUCUUUGACGCCUGGUGACACAUCCCUGAUCUCAACUCGCAGGAGGCUCAGGUGGAACCAUUGUCGGCUAUGUAUACCAGUCUAACACCACUUGCUGCGACGCCACCACCUACUCGAGUAUAAAUGCUGCGAUGUGGUAUGGCUAAAGUAAUCAUAACUUUUAAGAGUCUUAGAACAUAUAUAUAUGCAUACUUUUAUACACUGAGUAACACAUUGGUGCUAUUGAGUAUUAGUCAGCGGCCAGUUAUGGCACGCUUAAGUCAAUACUCACAUGCCUCCAGACAGAUUUGGAUCAUUGUGGUUGGGGCUCAGGUACGCCUUGGUGACCGCCCAUACUGACACGACGACUAGAGGUAUUCCUGCAACAAGAGUAGCGGAAUACGGUGAAAGUUUAAUAGCUAGUCACAUGAUCCGCGAAAAACAUUUGUGGAUGUACCGUAUGUCGAUCACACCAGGUAUUUCUCCCUCGGUAUACUUUCUUUUCAGAAUCGUUUACGGGCGGUAGCACAGUUAUGAAUUUUUAAACGUGCUGCUUGAUGAAAUGGAAGUUCUUGCUUAGAGAACUUAUAGCGUAUACAUUUUAUGGAAAUAAAGUUUUUUAGUGCUAAUUUUUUAAGGUACUGAACCUCGGAAGGUUUCACGCAAGCAUGAUUGAUCCAACCAGGUAUAAGAAUUCACACUAUUUUUUUCGCACAAUUUUGCCAAAGCGAAAAUAUUGAAAUACGCGUUCCUGUCAUUUUUUUAUAGAAGCAGAGCUAUGAUACAGGCUUAACAGCAACUGUAAAAAAGUUAUUUAUAAGAUAACAGACAUUCACUCGAAAAUCAAACCAAAGACUAAAUUAGCAUUAGAUGCAAGUAUGCCACUAUAUUUACGUCUUUCGAGCCACACUAUAUGUGAAACGUGUAUAUCUCGCUUAAUUCAGGCCUGAAUUAUCUGUCUUGUUCAUGCAGUAAUAAUGCUUGAAUUCUCCACCUUGUAAUAAAAGUAAUACUCAACAGCAUCCGCUGUCACACCAACACAGACUUCAUGUUUACCAGAAUUACUCCGCCUGACUGCCUCCAUAUAACCUUUACACGCAUAAACUGGUUUUCACUGCGCACGUUUACGUCAAAAAAGUUUGUUGCGCUCUUUCUGCCCUACUGUAAGAGGAAAACAGAAUCAGCUGUCGAUUUUAGAUGGUCCGAAAUAAGAAAAGCAUAAGACAAGCCAGUGGCCUGCGU
This is a long non-coding RNA of Dermacentor albipictus, 1906 nucleotides long. RefSeq lists it as uncharacterized. NCBI's taxonomy places the organism in Eukaryota, Metazoa, Arthropoda, Arachnida, Ixodida, Ixodidae. The record is from RefSeq and is a predicted model, not a curated record.